Molecule: ribosomal RNA, 253 nt
Filed under: uncultured bacterium
Lineage: Bacteria
Description: partial 16S ribosomal RNA
Rfam family: Bacterial small subunit ribosomal RNA
Source: RNAcentral
UACGUAGGGUGCGAGCGUUGUCCGGAAUUAUUGGGCGUAAAGAGCUUGUAGGCGGUUUGUCGCGUCUGCUGUGAAAUCUCAAGGCUCAACCUUGAGCUUGCAGUGGGUACGGGCAGACUAGAGUGUGGUAGGGGAGACUGGAAUUCCUGGUGUAGCGGUGAAAUGCGCAGAUAUCAGGAGGAACACCGGUGGCGAAGGCGGGUCUCUGGACCGGAACUGACGCUGAUGCGCGAAAGCGUGGGGAGCAAACGGG